RNAcentral lists this long non-coding RNA (653 nucleotides) under Sinocyclocheilus grahami. Its description in RNAcentral is "lncRNA (ENSSGRG00000039421.1)". The record is from RNAcentral. Lineage: Eukaryota; Metazoa; Chordata; Actinopteri; Cypriniformes; Cyprinidae.
AGGGGGACUCAAAACGUUUCUAAAUGUAAAACGCUUUUUUGCAUCUAUAUUGUUUUACUACUUUCACAAUUAUUUUAAGUGUAGGCUCAGAGGGGGUGGGACCCCCGGUACUAACAAUUUUUUUAUCAUGUAACGUUAAUUUGGAAUCAGUCACGGAUCGCAAUUUUUACAGUCAGAGACCCUUGAGAGAAGCAAAGCCACAGCGGAUCCUGCUUCGCCCCUCCUUCUCGUGUACUGACACUGGCAGCUAAACCCAUCAUCAUCGAUUAUCUUUUCAAUGAAGAGCAAGGGAGGGCAUACAUUCAACGACGAUUUUGAGCGAGAUUAGCCCAUGAGACUCUCAGAGCCUGAGCAUGAAUCAGGGAAGCGGUGCUUGUUUGUGGACCUCAGUGCCUCAGCACUGCCCCGCACCAUGUGAUCGUUACAAGCAUGCGUCUUGUGCCCACAGAGGCCAUGUUUAUGUACUAGGUGGCAGAGAAACACGCUUACUGAGAGAUUUUUGGAAAUAUAAUAUGGUCUGUGACAAGUGGGCCGAGCUUCCCUGUGAUAGUGAAGAAGCGCCUGAAGAACUGGAGGAGCACACAAUGGUAGCAUAUCAGGUAAUUGCAAUAAAUUCACAAUUCAUUCAUUCCAUGGUUUGCAGUGCAUGCAAA